ACAAUUGGCUUCCUAACCAAGUGAUUCAGAAAAGUAGUACAGAUUAUCUUCCGAGUCACCAGACUCUACAUGAUCAUCAACCUCUGUCAAGGAACGAAAGUGGAGCUCCCGAGAGUGUAAGUCAUCCUCAUCCCUCAUGUGUUUGGCUAGUCUUCUUAUUUCUGUCUGUAUUUCCUCUAUAUCUGGAUGCUGAUCAUCCCCAACAACAAAGACAUGGACUUUGUUCUUGAAUUCAACCCAACUACAGCCUGGCUCCUUAUUCACCCCGAGGAGCCUCAUUCUCCUUCUAACUCGUUCCAUAUCUUGCCAUUUGCCAGAGGCAGCAUAAAUACUCGACAAGAGAAUAUAAGCUGAAGAGUCUCGAGAUCCCAGCUCCAUCAACUUCUCCCCAGCGUGAGCUCCAAUCCCAAAGUUCUGGUGAUUUCUACACGCUCCCAGAAGAAUCCUCCAUAAGCAUGCCCCGUGGUUGACUGGGACAGACUCUAUCAGAUUCUUUGCUUCUUCAAGCUUGCCUGCGCGGCUGAGGAUGUCAACCAUGCAAGCGUAGUGUUCCACCAUUGGGGUCAACCCAUGAUCCUCCUGCAUUGACCUGAGGUAACCCCACCCUCUCUCCACCAAUCCCAUGUGGCUGCAUGCAGACAGGACAUUGACGAAUGUCACAUGGUCUGGCUCUAUGCCCUCUGCCAUCAUAGCAUCAAAGAGUUCUAGAGCAGUGCCGCCCUGCCCAUUAUGAGAAUAACCCGAUAUGAGGGAGUUCCAUGCCACAACAUCCCUCCUGGGCAUCCUCCUGAAGAUAUCAUAGCAAUCUCCGACAUGCCCACAUUUGGCAUAAAAUGUUAUCAGUGCACUUCCUACUGGAACUUCCAGGCCGAAGCCACAUUUAUGAAUGCGCGCCUGGACUUGCCUCCCCAAAUCCAAGGAAGGGAGAGAUGAGCAAACCCUAAGGAUGCUAACCAUG
RNAcentral lists this long non-coding RNA (958 nucleotides) under Spirodela polyrhiza (greater duckweed). RNAcentral's name for it is "long non-coding RNA (SPOL_LNC000940)". The record is from RNAcentral. Lineage: Eukaryota; Viridiplantae; Streptophyta; Magnoliopsida; Alismatales; Araceae.